GACAGCAGCAGCCGCGGUAAUACGUAGGGUGCGAGCGUUAAUCGGAAUUACUGGGCGUAAAGCGCACGUAGGCGGCUCCGCAAGUCGGAUGUGAAAUCCCUCGGCUUAACCAAGGAAGUGCAUCCGAAACUGCAGAGCUUGAGUACUUAAGAGGAUCGCGGAAUUCCCGGUGUAGAGGUGAAAUUCGUAGAUAUCGGGAGGAACACCAGUGGCGAAGGCGGCGAUCUGGGAAGAUACUGACGCUGAGGUGCGAAAGCGUGGGGAGCAAACAGGAUUAGAGACCCGUGUAGUCCUGUCUCUUAUACA
Molecule: ribosomal RNA, 306 nt
Filed under: uncultured bacterium
Lineage: Bacteria
Description: partial 16S ribosomal RNA
Rfam family: Bacterial small subunit ribosomal RNA
Source: RNAcentral